GACGAACGCUGGCGGCGCGCCUAACACAUGCAAGUCGAACGAGCAAAGAGGAGCUUGCUUCUCUGAGCGAGUGGCGAACGGGUGAGUAACGCGUGAGGAACCUGCCUCAAAGAGGGGGGCAACAGUUGGAAACGACUGCUAAUACCGCAUAAGCCCACGGGUCGGCAUCGACCAGAGGGAAAAGGAGCAAUCCGCUUUGAGAUGGCCUCGCGUCCGAUUAGCUGGUUGGUGAGGUAACGGCCCACCAAGGCGACGAUCGGUAGCCGGACUGAGAGGUUGAACGGCCACAUUGGGACUGAGACACGGCCCAGACUCCUACGGGAGGCAGCAGUGGGGAAUAUUGCACAAUGGGGGAAACCCUGAUGCAGCGACGCCGCGUGGAGGAAGAAGGUCUUCGGAUUGUAAACUCCUGUUGUUGAGGAAGAUAAUGACGGUACUCAACAAGGAAGUGACGGCUAACUACGUG
Molecule: ribosomal RNA, 466 nt
Filed under: uncultured bacterium
Lineage: Bacteria
Description: bacterial SSU rRNA
Rfam family: Bacterial small subunit ribosomal RNA
Source: RNAcentral